GGUCAAGAGGUUAAGACACCGCCCUUUCACGGCGGUAACAGGGGUUCAAUUCCCCUA
RNAcentral lists this transfer RNA (57 nucleotides) under Clostridioides difficile. Its description in RNAcentral is "tRNA-Glu". It matches the Rfam family "tRNA", at positions 9 to 63 of the family's 71-position model. Rfam says of the family: Transfer RNA (tRNA) molecules are approximately 80 nucleotides in length. The record is from RNAcentral. Lineage: Bacteria; Bacillati; Bacillota; Clostridia; Peptostreptococcales; Peptostreptococcaceae.